UUGACCUCAAAUCAGGUAGGAAUACCCGCU
Molecule: ribosomal RNA, 30 nt
Filed under: Meyerozyma guilliermondii
Lineage: Eukaryota; Fungi; Ascomycota; Pichiomycetes; Serinales; Debaryomycetaceae
Also listed under: 2 other names
Description: partial 28S ribosomal RNA
Source: RNAcentral